CCUACGGGGUGCAGCAGUAGGGAAUUUUGCGCAAUGGGGGAAACCCUGACGCAGCAACGCCGCGUGAUCGAUGAAGCCCUUCGGGGUGUAAAGCUCUAUCAGCAGGGAAGAAAAUGACGGUACCUGACUAAGAAGCCCCGGCUAACUACGUGCCAGCAGCCGCGGUAAUACGUAGGGGGCAAGCGUUAUCCGGAUUUACUGGGUGUAAAGGGAGCGUAGACGGUCCUGCAAGCCAGAUGUGAAAGCCCGGGGCUCAACCCCGGGACUGCAUUUGGAACUGUAAGGCUAGAGUGUCGGAGAGGCAGGCGGAAUUCCUAGUGUAGCGGUGAAAUGCGUAGAUAUUAGGAGGAACACCAGUGGCGAAGGCGGCCUGCUGGACGAUGACUGACGUUGAGGCUCGAAAGCGUGGGGAGCAAACAGGAUUAGAUACCCUUGUAGUC
Molecule: ribosomal RNA, 440 nt
Filed under: uncultured bacterium
Lineage: Bacteria
Description: partial 16S ribosomal RNA
Rfam family: Bacterial small subunit ribosomal RNA
Source: RNAcentral